Molecule: ribosomal RNA, 117 nt
Organism: Danio rerio (zebrafish)
Lineage: Eukaryota; Metazoa; Chordata; Actinopteri; Cypriniformes; Danionidae
Source: Ensembl
GCCAGCAGCUAGCUCUCUGCAAUUCUCACAUGGUAGCCCACUAAAGCUAAGCAGGGCUGUGUCCAGUCAGUACCUGGAUGGGAGACCACAUGGGAAAGCUACUGUAGGUUGCUGCCA